ACUCAAAUGAAUUGACGGGGGCCCGCACAAGCAGCGGAGCAUGUUGCUUAAUUCGAGGCAACGCGAAGAACCUUACCUGGGUUUGACAUGGUAGGAAAAGCCACAGAGAUGUGGUGUCCUUUUGGGCCUAUCACAGGUGGUGCAUGGCUGUCGUCAGCUCGUGUCGUGAGAUGUUGGGUUAAGUCCCGCAACGAGCGCAACCCUUGUCCUAUGUUGCCAGCACGUAAUGGUGGGGACUCGUAGGAGACUGCCGGGGUCAACUCGGAGGAAGGUGGGGACGACGUCAAGUCAUCAUGCCCCUUAUGUCCAGGGCUGCAAACAUGCUACAAUGGCCAGUACAAAGGGCUGCGAAACCGCGAGGUCGAGCGAAUCCCACAAAGCUGGUCUCAGUUCGGAUCGGAGUCUGCAACUCGACUCCGUGAAGCUGGAGUUGCUAGUAAUCCCGGAUCAGCAACGCCGGGGUGAAUACGUUCCCGGGCCUUGUACACACCGCCCGU
This 497-nucleotide ribosomal RNA is filed under the name uncultured bacterium. RNAcentral describes it as "partial 16S ribosomal RNA". It matches the Rfam family "Bacterial small subunit ribosomal RNA", at positions 899 to 1397 of the family's 1533-position model. The record is from RNAcentral.